GAUGAACGCUGGCGGCGUGCCUAAUACAUGCAAGUCGAGCGAACGGACGAGAAGCUUGCUUCUCUGAUGUUAGCGGCGGACGGGUGAGUAACACGUGGAUAACCUACCUAUAAGACUGGGAUAACUUCGGGAAACCGUAGCUAAUACCGGAUAAUAUUUUGAACCGCAUGGUUCAAAAGUGAAAGACGGUCUUGCUGUCACUUAUAGAUGGAUCCGCGCUGCAUUAGCUAGUUGGUAAGGUAACGGCUUACCAAGGCAACGAUGCAUAGCCGACCUGAGAGGGUGAUCGGCCACACUGGAACUGAGACACGGUCCAGACUGCUACGGGAGGCAGCAGUAGGGAAUCGUCCGCAAUGGGCGAAAGCCUGACGGAGCAACGCCGCGUGAGUGAUGAAGGUCUUCGGAUCGUAAAACUCUGUUAUUAGGGAAGAACAUAUGUGUAAGUAACUGUGCACAUCUUGACGGUACCUAAUCAGAAAGCCACGGCUAAAUACGUG
This 497-nucleotide ribosomal RNA is filed under the name uncultured bacterium. Its description in RNAcentral is "partial 16S ribosomal RNA". It matches the Rfam family "Bacterial small subunit ribosomal RNA", at positions 28 to 507 of the family's 1533-position model. The record is from RNAcentral.